RNAcentral lists this ribosomal RNA (460 nucleotides) under uncultured bacterium. RNAcentral describes it as "partial 16S ribosomal RNA". It matches the Rfam family "Bacterial small subunit ribosomal RNA", at positions 338 to 795 of the family's 1533-position model. The record is from RNAcentral.
CCUACGGGCGGCAGCAGUGAGGAAUAUUGGUCAAUGGCCGGAAGGCUGAACCAGCCAUGCCGCGUGAAGGUCAGUGCCCUAUGGGCGUUAAACUUCUUUUGUGCGGGAGCAAUAAUGGUCACGUGUGGCCAGACGAGAGUACCGUACGAAUAAGCAUCGGCUAACUCCGUGCCAGCAGCCGCGGUAAUACGGGGGAUGCAAGCGUUAUCCGGAUUUAUUGGGUUUAAAGGGUGCGUAGGCUGUGAGGUAAGUCAGCGGUGAAAUGCCCCCGCUCAACGGGGUGAAGUGCCAUUGAUACUGCCUAGCUGGAAUGCGGAUGCCGUGGGAGGGAUGUGUGGUGUAGCGGUGGAAUGCAUAGAUAUCACACAGAACACCGAUUGCGAAGGCAUCUCACGAAUCCGCGAUUGACGCUGAUGCACGAAAGCGUGGGUAUCAAACAGGAUUAGAUACCCUUGUAGUC